This is a non-coding RNA of Pelobates cultripes (western spadefoot toad), 221 nucleotides long. Lineage: Eukaryota; Metazoa; Chordata; Amphibia; Anura; Pelobatidae. The record is from the annotation of a GenBank genome assembly.
GCCAGCUAUGCAUGUGAAAAGAGUAUUUUGCACAACAACAAAAAUGCAUGGAGGAUAAACAAUAUUAUAUCAUUACUAUACAAUCAGGUAAAAACCUUUACAUGGCACUCCCUUAAAUGCCCUCAAUAAACAUAUUUGUACAAAAGAUCAGGAUGCACACUUCAAUAGCUACAAAAAAUAAUUUGUUUAUUCAAAUGAAUGCAAUAAAACAUCCAACGAAU